Molecule: ribosomal RNA, 398 nt
Filed under: uncultured Salpingoecidae
Lineage: Eukaryota; Choanoflagellata; Craspedida; Salpingoecidae
Description: partial small subunit ribosomal RNA
Rfam family: Eukaryotic small subunit ribosomal RNA
Source: RNAcentral
GCUUGUCUCAAAGAUUAAGCCAUGCAUGUCUUAGUGUAAAUAACUCUUAUGAAACUGCGAAUGGCUCAUUAAAUCAGUUAUCAAAUACGUGAUGGUCGCCUACUACAUGGAUAACCGUAGUAAUUCUAGAGCUAAUACAUGCGAAAAGACGCGACUCACGAAGCGUUGUAUUUAUUAGAUACAAAACCAAUGCGGGGCAACCCGGUAUAAGGUGAUUCAUAAUAACUUUGCGAAUCGCAUGGCCUUGCGCCGGCGAUGAAUCAUUCAAAUUUCUGCCCUAUCAACUUUCGAUGGUAAGGUAUUGGCUUACCAUGGUCGCAACGGGUAACGGGGAAUAAGGGUUCGGUUCCGGAGAGGGAGCCUGAGAAAUGGCUACCACAUCCAAGGAAGGCAGCAGG